Molecule: long non-coding RNA, 3207 nt
Filed under: Hordeum vulgare
Lineage: Eukaryota; Viridiplantae; Streptophyta; Magnoliopsida; Poales; Poaceae
Description: long non-coding RNA (HVUL_LNC003043)
Rfam family: MIR1120/MIR1122 microRNA precursor family (bases 2135-2269)
Source: RNAcentral
AAAAAGCGCAAUGGAGGCGGGCGGACCCAAGCUGGCCGCGUGGGGUGGAUCCCCGUCCACCCCAUUCUCUCGCCUCGGCGUGUCUCAUGGGGGAACUCGCGGCCCUCGACGGUGGCGAGCGAGGAGGCUCCCGCUGCAGCUCCGAGCACCUUCCCGACAUGCUGCAUGGCCUAGACGGCCAAGGUAAUCCCUUAUUCCUUCCCCAUCCUGCCAAGUACGUACAUAGCUUGCAGCAAUGUCAUGUGUUGCUGCUUCCUUGGGCAGACUAGCGCCACAGAUCCGGAUGUUUGCCACAUACUUUUUUUCAGAGAGAGGAACGGACACUCGUAUCCGGAAUAGAUACCAUAGUAUGUUUGUUUGCAAGAGAUCCGUGGAACUCAAAUAAAACUCUAAGUAUAGGGAUGAAGUCAUCUAGGAAAUAGAUCUGAGGACUAUGGUGAAGUUACAAAAUAAAAAUCAAAUCACUUGCACAUAUCAAACUAACUUCUGAUCAGGAAUUUGGUUGCUCCAUAAAAGCUGCAGUUUUACAAUUUGUUCUUUCUUGAUUUGCACGGAUGCAUAGCUCCCUGAGUUGUUUGGCUGUUUACAUGCAUGUUUAUGGGCUAUUUUGUGCAACUAAAUAAAUUCAUUUAUGGUUGUCAGAUACUCAUGUCCUUUAUUAGCUUGAUGAGGUACACCUUAUGUAGGACUGAAUUAAAAAUAUUACACUUCUCGGUGAAAACUUUAUCUAGCAUAUGCAAUGUUAUGUUCUGUGAGCAGUGUCAAGUUAGAAGAAUAAGUUAUGCAUCUGAAAACAAAUCUCUUCUUUUUUUCAUAUUCAAAGAAAAUAAGUUAGUUGUUGAGUGUUUACUUCCCAAGUGACAACUGAGUAAUCACGUUCAGGUACAAUAAAAAAUGGCAAGCCAGAAUGUGCUAGCUAUUUGCCAAUUUGUUGUAACAUGCAUGUAAAGAGAUGGCAGCAGUUUAUGCACAUUUCUUGACUUCAAAAGAUGACUAUCCAGAUUCAAUUGGGACCGCUAAGGUUGGCACCUUUCUCUCUCUUCCUUGGAGCUGCAUGAUUCCGUUCGAGUUGCUUAUCUCCACUUCCCCUGAUGCGAUUUCCCUCCUCACGCAGGUUAGGUAGGAGCACAAAGGUAGAUUGAAAAUUACCAGCGAGUCCAUCUCCUACUUCGACUGCAAUGUAAUGCUGAGUCUCACUUGCUUUCUUCCCUCUCUUUUCUCUUCUUAUUAGAGCAAAGAUGCAUUUCAGGCGAUGAACUCAACCAUUGCUCUGGGUUUGUGGGUGUGUAUGUGUGUGAGGGUGAGAGAGGGAGAAGUUUUUAGCUUUAAGUUGUCUUGUGAUUUCGUUUCCACUUGAAUCUGCUAUAUGACAUCUUCCAUGUUGUUUGUAUUACACCGUCGCGUCUCAUGUAACUUAUGAGGCUGGAGAUGGACAGCUUUUGUUUGUCUUCAGCCUUUACGUAACCUUUCCUAAGAUAUGUGCUUUCACUGCUUACUUGUGGAUCUGAAAGUUUUUCUUUGAUUAGAUGGUGUUGGUUGUAACAGAAUAGUAGAAUGCAUUGGCUAGCAGAAGUGAGGUUAUUCGGCUUUAAGUAUACAAUAAACGAAUGCAUUUACUUGACAGUGUUUGUAAUCUGCAUGAAAAGUUUAUCCUCUAAAGAAGCAAAUUGCGUCAUGUCCUGUGCAUACGCCCAACUGUUUAUUAUAUGGAAGAAAAAUAUAAGAUGCCAACCUGAUACACUCUUCCUAGAGUAAAAUUGUCACUUCCUGCUUGUGUUAUUUACUUUGCAUUCACUGAACAGGCGUAUCUACUCUGUAUAACAAAGGUCCUGAUACAUAAUUUCAUUCACAAUUCUGUAUGGGAGGUUGGAUUGUCCUAUGCUUCAUUGUCUCUUGAUUAUCUCAUGAUAACCGACUAGUAUUGAAGUUGAUUUUGUCGCAUUCGAUUGUUUUUGAAGAAUUCUGGGAAGCAAAAAAUGUUUGAGAAUGCAUUGAACCUGUAUGUUGUAGAUGUGCUUACUAACGUUUCAUGACAUUGUCAGUCUUUUCAAGUUACUAAUAACAUGGUAUUCUCGAGUUGCUGAUAACAAUCAGCUUAGUUGUAAUUGUUGAUCGAACUGGGUGUUGCUUUUAUGUUAUACUCCCUCCGUCCCAAAUUAAUUGAGUUACAUUCAUCUAGAUACGGAUGUAUCUAACACUAAAACGUGGUUAGUCAUGUCCGUAUGUAGACAAAUCUGAGUGAACUAAUUCGGGACGGAGGGAGUAUUGCUCAGUGAGCUUUUUAUAGAGGUACAAGCUGGUCUUUGUGUUCAGAGGCUUGAUAUGACUGUUAACUCUAUAUUGUUUGGCUGUGUAUAUUUGCAAAUAAAUAUUGAUGCUAAUCACACAGAGGAAAUAUGCAGGUCAUGGUCUUAAUCACGUGCGAUGGAUUAACAUAUUUCCUUCUUUUUGCUAUGAUUGCAAUGUGGCUGUUGAUGACUCACUGUCUUCAAAAUGCUUUUUAUUGAUCAAUAAAACUAUUAACAAGCCCUGUUAAACAAUAACAAGCUCUGAUGCUCUGUUUUCAGUGAGAUUGCGAAGAACUUGCCACUUGCACCAGUAGAGCUCCAUUGCACUAUGCCUGUUGAAGAUGCAAUUAAAAUCAAAGAAGGUGAAUCUGGGAGACAGCCUUGCAGAGACACCUUUGAAAGGUUCGUUUGUUAUUUCAAACUGCUUAGUUUUGUAGAUCAUGCCCCAAAAUAAAUAGGUCUCAACAUUAUUGCUGCUAGUAGUUGAUAGUCUGUCAAUUGGGUUGAGGCAGUUUAUGUUCAUUUUUCUGAUGUAUACUUCUAUUUCUCUGCAAGAUGUAUGAUACCCGUAUUAGCAAAUCUUAAGUGGUGAAGUCUAUUCAUGACUGUAAUGCUUGCAGUCUUGACUCCCCCCCCCCCUCCGGGUCACUGGUCAUGAUAAGCAUUUCAUAUUGUACAAACAAAAGUUUUGAUUUUCAUUGAGCUUUUUUGUGUCAAGCAAUAUGUCUAACUCCAUCUUAGCUUGCAGAAUACACAAGAACUGUUAGUUUUUAAUGCUUUUUUGUAUUUUUGUCCUAUUGUUGUAUCGACACAGUUUCAGUUCCUUCAGGUACACUUUACUUACCUUAAGCUCUCAACUAUUUGUUUGUUGUGUUGUUGGCUUAAUAAAACUGACGUAACUCAGUUUCUUGUAUGUACC